RNAcentral lists this long non-coding RNA (1004 nucleotides) under Brassica rapa (field mustard). RNAcentral describes it as "long non-coding RNA (BRAP_LNC008165)". The record is from RNAcentral. Lineage: Eukaryota; Viridiplantae; Streptophyta; Magnoliopsida; Brassicales; Brassicaceae.
GGAGAUGACUCUCUUACAUCCGACACAAGGAUAAUAGCGCUAUAAAAGAAAUCCGAAAUUUUGGUCUAGCACUUCCGGUCUCCGGAGAGAUGCUCGGUUCGUAUCAAACAAGUCAUAUAAGCCGAGAACCUAUCGCGGACUUUACAUCGAUACGAAUCAGGAAGAAAUCGCGACAGGAAAAAACGAUAGCCGGUUAGUCACCGCACAAUCCUUAAACCGAAAGUAAACCUAGGUCUUGCCCUAAACCCAGCGCACUGGUCUCUAACAUCUCAAAGACAUGAUAUCGAAAGAUAAGAGAUUCUUAAACCAUGCCCUAUGUUUAUGUUCGACACCUUCAGCACCCCCGCAGAGUUCACAUCUCGCGGAAGAACUCUCGAAACAGAUCUCGAAUGAAACAUUUCACAAUCGAAGAAGGAUAUGAGACGACAACUCAUCACCUUCCUCCCCACUAUUCACAAACUCAUAAAAAAGCGUUAUCCGAUUAUCGUACUAUAAAAAGAAAGCGGUGGAGCGGCAGGGAUUCAAAGCCACACACGGCCAGUCCCGAAAUACAAACAAGGCCAUUCAAGGCCGAAACAUAAAAAAAAAAAAUCUCUCGCAAGAGAUCUAACCCAAGUCACCCUCAGAACUUACGCCCCCUCUUCACCCGCUGCCUCAUCCGAGCCUGGAGCCGCGCCGCUUCCGUUCUCUCCGACCAUCGGGUCUUUCCCCUCUGGGUCUUCUGAACACGUCGGAAGGAAGCACGCGGAUUUCAGGUCGGCCAGGAUGAGACCGAAAUCUCCAUCCUCGGCCGCCAUAUCUCCCUUGCAGCCGGACAGUCGGGCCUCUUCGGCCUCCAAGGUCGGGGGAGUCUCACUUUGGAACGACCGAACCACGGCCAUCCCGCCCUCAAUCGUCGCCAAAGCGAAAUCCCUGCUCCGGAUACACUCGAGGGAACCCAGGGAAGCAGAAAUUUUCGCCAAGCGAGCUUGAAACUCCGCACGAAGGGCAUCCGUAGCCUCUUG